This 482-nucleotide ribosomal RNA is filed under the name uncultured bacterium. Its description in RNAcentral is "partial 16S ribosomal RNA". It matches the Rfam family "Bacterial small subunit ribosomal RNA", at positions 30 to 507 of the family's 1533-position model. The record is from RNAcentral.
AUUGAACGCUGGCGGCAUGCCUUACACAUGCAAGUCGAACGGUAACAGGUCUUCGGCUGCUGCCGAGUGGCGAACGGGUGAGUAAUACAUCGGAACGUGCCCGAUCGUGGGGGAUAACGGAGCGAAAGCUUUGCUAAUACCGCAUACGAUCUACGGAUGAAAGCAGGGGACCGCAAGGCCUUGCGCGGACGGAGCGGCCGAUGGCAGAUUAGGUAGUUGGUGGGAUAAAAGCUUACCAAGCCGACGAUCUGUAGCUGGUCUGAGAGGACGACCAGCCACACUGGGACUGAGACACGGCCCAGACUCCUACGGGAGGCAGCAGUGGGGAAUUUUGGACAAUGGGCGAAAGCCUGAUCCAGCCAUGCCGCGUGCAGGAUGAAGGCCUUCGGGUUGUAAACUGCUUUUGUACGGAACGAAAAGACUCUUUCUAAUAAAGAGGGUCCAUGACGGUACCGUAAGAAUAAGCACCGGCUAACUACGUG